GACGAACGCUGGCGGCAGGCUUAACACAUGCAAGUCGAACGCCCUCUUCGGAGGGAGUGGCAGACGGGUGAGUAACGCGUGGGAAUGUACCUAUCGGUACGGAAUAGCUCAGGGAAACUUGAAUUAAUACCGUAUACGCCCUUCGGGGGAAAGAUUUAUUGCCGAUAGAUCAGCCCGCGUUAGAUUAGCUUGUUGGUGCGGUAAAAGCGCACCAAGGCUACGAUCUAUAGCUGGUCUGAGAGGAUGAUCAGCCACACUGGAACUGAGACACGGUCCAGACUCCUACGGGAGGCAGCAGUGGGGAAUAUUGGACAAUGGGCGAAAGCCUGAUCCAGCCAUGCCGCGUGAAUGAAGAAGGCCUUAGGGUUGUAAAAUUCUUUCAACGGUGAAGAUAAUGACGGUAACCGUAGAAGAAGCCCCGGCUAAUUUCG
This 431-nucleotide ribosomal RNA is filed under the name uncultured Alphaproteobacteria bacterium. RNAcentral describes it as "bacterial SSU rRNA". It matches the Rfam family "Bacterial small subunit ribosomal RNA", at positions 28 to 505 of the family's 1533-position model. The record is from RNAcentral. Lineage: Bacteria; Pseudomonadati; Pseudomonadota; Alphaproteobacteria.